This 707-nucleotide ribosomal RNA is filed under the name uncultured Providencia sp. Its description in RNAcentral is "bacterial SSU rRNA". It matches the Rfam family "Bacterial small subunit ribosomal RNA", at positions 794 to 1502 of the family's 1533-position model. The record is from RNAcentral. Lineage: Bacteria; Pseudomonadati; Pseudomonadota; Gammaproteobacteria; Enterobacterales; Morganellaceae.
GUCACGCUGUAAACGAUGUCGAUUUGGAGUUUGUUGCCUAGAGUGAUGGGCUCCGAAGCUAACGCGAUAAAUCGACCGCUGGGGAGUACGGCCGCAAGGUUAAAACUCAAAUGAAUUGACGGGGGCCCGCACAAGCGAUGGAGCAUGUGGUUUAAUUCGAUGCAACGCGAAGAACCUUACCUGGUCUUGACAUCCAUAGAAUUCUGCAGAGAUGUGGGAGUGCCUUCGGGAACUAUGAGACAGGUGCUGCAUGGCUGUCGUCAGCUCGUGUUGUGAAAUGUUGGGUUAAGUCCCGCAACGAGCGCAACCCUUAUUCUUUGUUGCCAGCGAUUUGGUCGGGAACUCAAAGGAGACUGCCGUUGAUAAAGCGGAGGAAGGUGGGGACGACGUCAAGUCAUCAUGGCCCUUACGACCAGGGCUACACACGUGCUACAAUGGCGUAUACAAAGGGAAGCGAAGGUGCGAGCUGGAGCGGAUCUCAUAAAGUACGUCUAAGUUCGGAUUGGAGUCUGCAACUCGACUCCAUGAAGUCGGAAUCGCUAGUAAUCGUAGAUCAGAAUGCUACGGUGAAUACGUUCCCGGGCCUUGUACACACCGCCCGUCACACCAUGGGAGUGGGUUGCACCAGAAGUAGAUAGCUUAACCGCGAGGGGGGCGUUUACCACGGUGUGAUUCAUGGCUGGGGUGAAGUCGUAACAAGGUAACCA